This is a long non-coding RNA of Dipodomys spectabilis (banner-tailed kangaroo rat), 105 nucleotides long. RefSeq lists it as uncharacterized. NCBI's taxonomy places the organism in Eukaryota, Metazoa, Chordata, Mammalia, Rodentia, Heteromyidae. The transcript is spliced from 3 exons. The record is from RefSeq and is a predicted model, not a curated record.
GUGGGGAAAAUGCCUUACAUUUCAUUACAAGAUACAAUAGUUCAAGAAAUAGAAAAAUUGAGGAUUUUGAUGUUCUCAUUCUUUAUAGAGCCACAUAAAUUUGGG